This 1945-nucleotide small RNA is filed under the name Arabidopsis thaliana (thale cress). RNAcentral describes it as "ATSL275280". The record is from RNAcentral. Lineage: Eukaryota; Viridiplantae; Streptophyta; Magnoliopsida; Brassicales; Brassicaceae.
AUUCUAAAACAAUGCUUGAACAAGUAAUUUUGGAUCCGUAAUAUAGCCCAAAUCACAAAAAUACCCGAAAAAGUACUUAAAGGUCAAAAUUUGGGGUCGACAAAAAGUCAAUGAAAAAGUUCCUUUGUCCUGCUUCUUUCGUCGGAGGGCUCUCUUUGGGCUAUUCGAAAAGGUAUCACAUGCCAAGUUUGGCCUCACGGUAUAAAAGUUAUAGAGUCCUAAAGUUUUAACCAAAAAAAACAAAUUAAAAAAAAAGAGGGAUGCAACACGAGGACUUCCCGGGAGGUCACCCAUCCUAGUACUACUCUCGCCCAAGCACGCUUAACUAAAUGUCAAAAUUUGGAGUCGACAAAAAAUCAAUUGAUAUGUUCCAUUGUCCUGCUACUUUCAUCGGAGGGCUCUCUUUGGGCUUUCCGAAAAUGUAUCACAUGCCAAGUUUGGCCUCACUGUAUAAAAGUUAUACAGUCAUAAAGUUUUAACCAAAGAAAAAUAUUAAAAAAAAAGGGAUGCAACACGAGGACUUCCCUGAGGUCACCAAUCCUAGUACUACUCUCGCCCAAGCACGCUUAACUACGGAGUUUUGAUGGGAUCUGGUGUAUUAGUGCUGGUAUAAUCUCAUCCGUUAGUAUAGGCAAUGCAAUGGUGUAUAUUCUUUUUUGAAGACUUGAUGAACCAUUCGUCGUGGGUCCCACCCGCUGUGUAGGGAUACCCCAUCUAGUCUUAACGAGCUUUGAUCAUGAAAAAAAUUCUAAAACAAUGCUUGAACAAGUAAUUUUGGGUCCGUAAUAUAGCCCAAAUCACAAAAUACCCGAAAAAGUACUUAAAGGUCAAAAUUUGGGAUCGACAAAAAGUCAAUGGAAAAGUUCGUUUGUCCUGCUUCUUUCGUCGGAGGGCUCUUUUUGGGCUUUCCGAAAAGGUAUCACAUGCCAAGUUUGGCCUCACGGUAUAAAAGUUAUAGAAUCAUAAAGUUUUAACCAAAAAAAACAAAUUAAAAAAAAAGAGGGAUGCAACACGAGGACUUCCCGGGAGGUCACCCAUCCUAGUACUACUCUCGCCCAAGCACGCUUAACUAAAGGUUAAAAUUUGGAGUCGACAAAAAAUCAAUGGAUAUGUUCCAUUGUCCUGCUUCUUUCAUCGGAGAGCUCUCUUUGGGCUUUCCGAAAAGGUAUCACAUGCCAAGUUUGGCCUCACUGUAUAAAAGUUAUAGAGUCAUAAAGUUUUAACCAAUGAAAAAAAUUAAAAAAAAAGAGGGAUGCAACACGAGGACUUCCCGGGAGGUCACCCAUCCUAGUACUACUCUCGCCCAAGCCCCCUUAACUGCGGAGUUCUGAUGGGAUCCGGUGUAUUAGUGUUGGUAUGAUCUUAUCUGUUAGUAUAUGCAAUGCAAUCGUAUAUAUUCUUUUUGGAAGAAUUGAUGAACCAUUCGCCGUGGGUCCCACCCGCUGUGUAGGGAUACCCCAACUAGUCUUAACGAGCUUUGAUGCAUGAAAAAAUUCUAAAACAAUGCUUGAACAAGUUAUUUUGGGUCCGUAAUCUAGCCCAAAUCACAAAAAUGCCCGAAAAAGUACUUAAAGGUCAAAAUUUGUGGUCGGCAAAAAGUCAAAGGAAAAGUUCGUUUGUCCUGUUUCUUUCGUCGGAGGGUUCUCUUUGGGAUUUCCGAAAAGGUAUCACAUGCCUAGUUUGGCCUCACGGUAUAAAAGUUAUAGAGUCAUAAAGUUUUAACCAAAAAAAACAAAUUAAAAAAAAAGAGGGAUGCAACACGAGGACUUCCCGGGAGGUCACCCAUCCUAGUACAAUAUUCGCCCAAGCACGCUUAACUGCGGAGUUCUGAUGGGAUCUCGUGUAUUAGUGCUGGUAUGAUCGCAUACGUUAGUAUAUGCAAUGCAAUCGUAUAUAUUCUUUUUUGAAGACUUGAUGAACCAUUCGUCGUGGGUCGCACCCGCUA